GUGAAUCAUCAAAUCUUUGAACGCAAAUUGCACUCUCUGGUAUUCCGGAGAGUAUGCCUGUUUGAGGGUCAGUUGAAAUAAAAAUCGGUGUGGGUGCUGCCGUGCGUGGUGACGCACCGGGUUUGGGUCGGCUUGCCUUCGGUUAAGUGACGUAAAAUUUUGCAUGAUUUGUUUCGAACGUAGUGAAAUGAUUUUACGUACGUGUGCG
Molecule: unclassified non-coding RNA, 208 nt
Filed under: Glomus sp.
Lineage: Eukaryota; Fungi; Glomeromycota; Glomeromycetes; Glomerales; Glomeraceae
Description: partial contains 5.8S ribosomal RNA and internal transcribed spacer 2
Rfam family: 5.8S ribosomal RNA (bases 1-71)
Source: RNAcentral